This 70-nucleotide transfer RNA is filed under the name Xenoperdix udzungwensis. RNAcentral describes it as "tRNA-Pro". It matches the Rfam family "tRNA". Rfam says of the family: Transfer RNA (tRNA) molecules are approximately 80 nucleotides in length. Their secondary structure includes four short double-helical elements and three loops (D, anti-codon, and T loops). Further hydrogen bonds mediate the characteristic L-shaped molecular structure. tRNAs have two regions of fundamental functional importance: the anti-codon, which is responsible for specific mRNA codon recognition, and the 3' end, to which the tRNAs corresponding amino acid is attached (by aminoacyl-tRNA synthetases). tRNAs cope with the degeneracy of the genetic code in two manners: having more than one tRNA (with a specific anti-codon) for a particular amino acid; and 'wobble' base-pairing, i.e. permitting non-standard base-pairing at the 3rd anti-codon position. The record is from RNAcentral. Lineage: Eukaryota; Metazoa; Chordata; Aves; Galliformes; Phasianidae.
CAGAAAGUAGUUUAUUUAAAAUACCAGCUUUGGGAGCUGGAGAGAAAGGUUUAAAGUCCUUUCUUUCUGA